This 233-nucleotide ribosomal RNA is filed under the name uncultured bacterium. Its description in RNAcentral is "partial 16S ribosomal RNA". It matches the Rfam family "Bacterial small subunit ribosomal RNA", at positions 14 to 229 of the family's 1533-position model. The record is from RNAcentral.
GUAUCAUGGCUCAGGACGAACGCUGGCGGCGUGCCUAACACAUGCAAGUCGAACGGAGAAUUUUAUUUCGGUAGAAUUCUUAGUGGCGAACGGGUGAGUAACGCGUAGGCAACCUGCCCUUUAGACGGGGACAACAUUCCGAAAGGAGUGCUAAUACCGGAUGUGAUCAUCGUGCCGCAUGGCAGGAUGAAGAAAGGAUGGCCUCUACAAGUAAGCUAUCGCUAAAGGAUGGG